GCCGGGCUCGCUGACCGACGAAGAGUUCAAGGUGAUGAGAACCCAUCCGGAACAUGGCUAC
RNAcentral lists this transfer RNA (61 nucleotides) under Chroomonas cf. mesostigmatica. RNAcentral describes it as "partial Selenocysteine transfer RNA". The record is from RNAcentral. Lineage: Eukaryota; Cryptophyceae; Pyrenomonadales; Chroomonadaceae.